This 371-nucleotide ribosomal RNA is filed under the name uncultured eukaryote. RNAcentral's name for it is "partial 18S ribosomal RNA". It matches the Rfam family "Eukaryotic small subunit ribosomal RNA", at positions 592 to 976 of the family's 1831-position model. The record is from RNAcentral.
CAAUAGCGUAUAUUAAAGUUGUUGCAGUUAAAAAGCUCGUAGUUGAAUUUCUGUCAGGAGUGACCGGGCCUUUGGAUGAACUUCCAUUGUUUUUUGCUCUGUUUGUCAUCUCUAGACAUCCUGAAAUAUUUUUUACAAAUAUUUCUCUUUUACUGUUAGCAAAAUAGAGUGUUCCAAGCAAAGCGUAGUUUUGAAUACAUUAGAAUGGAAUAAUAAGAUAGGACUUUGGUGCUAUUUUGUUGGUUUGCACACCAAGGUAAUGAUUAAUAGGGACAGUUGAGGGUAUUCGUAUUUAAUUGUCAGAGGUGAAAUUCUUGGAUUUAUGAAAGACGAACUACUGCGAAAGCAUUUACCAAGGAUGUUUUCAUUAA